GAUGAACGCUGGCGGCGUGCCUAAUACAUGCAAGUCGAGCGAACGGACGAGAAGCUUGCUUCUCUGAUGUUAGCGGCGGACGGGUGAGUAACACGUGGAUAACCUACCUAUAAGACUGGGAUAACUUCGGGAAACCGGAGCUAAUACCGGAUGAUAUUUUGAACCGCAUGGUUCAAAAGUGAAAGACGGUCUUGCUGUCACUUAUAGAUGGAUCCGCGCUGCAUUAGCUAGUUGGUAAGGUAACGGCUUACCAAGGCAACGAUGCAUAGCCGACCUGAGAGGGUGAUCGGCCACACUGGAACUGAGACACGGUCCAGACUCCUACGGGAGGCAGCAGUAGGGAAUCUUCCGCAAUGGGCGAAUGCCUGACGGAGCAACGCCGCGUGAGUGAUGAAGGUCUUCGGAUCGUAAAACUCUGUUAUUAGGGAAGAACAUAUGUGUAAGUAACUGUGCACAUCUUGACGGUACCUAAUCAGAAAGCCACGGCUAACUACGUG
This 497-nucleotide ribosomal RNA is filed under the name uncultured bacterium. RNAcentral describes it as "partial 16S ribosomal RNA". It matches the Rfam family "Bacterial small subunit ribosomal RNA", at positions 28 to 507 of the family's 1533-position model. The record is from RNAcentral.